UACGUAGGGUGCAAGCGUUGUUCGGAAUUACUGGGCGUAAAGGGCGCGUAGGCGGGCUCGUAAGUUAGUUGUGAAAUCCCCGGGCUUAACCCGGGACGUGCAACUAAAACUGCAAGUCUUGAGUAUUGGAGAGGAUGGCGGAAUUCCAGGUGUAGAAGUGAAAUUCGUAGAUAUCUGGAAGAACACCGGAGGCGAAGGCGGCUGUCUGGCCAAAUACUGACGCUAAGGCGCGAAAGUGCGGGGAUCAAACAGG
Molecule: ribosomal RNA, 253 nt
Filed under: uncultured bacterium
Lineage: Bacteria
Description: partial 16S ribosomal RNA
Rfam family: Bacterial small subunit ribosomal RNA
Source: RNAcentral